CUCUUAGCCAAGCAAGUGUAGUUAUAGGGUGAGGCCUGUCCCUUGCACUCCAGGCAAGCUGACCCCUCUGAGCUUCCCCAAAUGUGAGCUUUCCACCUUCCCAAAUCCAGGAAAUUCAACUGCAUAAUUUUAUGGUAAUGGGGGACUGCAUUUUCACUUUCCCCAU
Molecule: small nuclear RNA, 166 nt
Filed under: Crocodylus porosus (Australian saltwater crocodile)
Lineage: Eukaryota; Metazoa; Chordata; Crocodylia; Crocodylidae
Description: U1 spliceosomal RNA (ENSCPRG00005002460.1)
Rfam family: U1 spliceosomal RNA
About the family: U1 is a small nuclear RNA (snRNA) component of the spliceosome (involved in pre-mRNA splicing). Its 5' end forms complementary base pairs with the 5' splice junction, thus defining the 5' donor site of an intron.
Source: RNAcentral